CCUAGUCUGCAUAUACCGAGUAGAAUAGAGAGGGGAGAGGGCUAGGGUUCAGAGCACGACGAGCCAUAACUUCAACAAGCAGCGGGCGGGUCUCGGGCGGCGCGCGGGCGCUUGGUGGACGACGCUCAAGCGGAGGCGGGCAGCGCUUGGGAGUCAGGCGUGCGACCUUGCGGCUGUGCUCAGGCGGGGCGUUGCGUGAAGCGCUAGGGAGUCGGGUGUGCGACGGGCGGCGCUCGUUCCUCAGGCAUGUGCGGACGACGCUCAGACGCAUGGCUGUGUCGACCACUUGCAGACGACGCCGACACAGAUCCAGGUCCAGGUCCAGUUCAUGGAGCAUGGUUACCACCUUGGUUUGCGGCACAAUAUGCUCAUUACGCGGAGGUUGUCGCAGGUCACUAGAAUAAACAAGGGAAACCUGCUGUGCAGAAUGUUUUGCAUAAGAGAAAAUGGUUGCCCUCAAGAAAAAUGUAGGACCUUAUGUAUAAAAGGUAUCAACAAGAUGUUAAUGGGAUAAACCUCAUAUUGAGACCGCUAAGAUGAAAUGGAUUCAUGUUAAGGAGAAAUUGGUUGUCCUCAAGAAAAAUGCAGAACCUUAUGUACAAAUGGAUUGUCUUCAAAAUGUUGUUCUUGUAGCUACAACAAAGAGAAACAACAAUGGUGGUGAUGCUAUACGUGUAGAAGUAGCAAUGUUGGUCUUGUAGCUCCAAGAUUUUGUUAUUUUGUUGUUGAUGAAUGAUAUCUAUGAUAAUAUAUUGCUAAGUGUAUGUGAUGAUCAUUGGUUGUUGUUUAAUUA
This is an RNA transcript of Zea mays, 793 nucleotides long. RefSeq lists it as uncharacterized. The transcript has 5 exons. The record is from RefSeq and is a predicted model, not a curated record. NCBI's taxonomy places the organism in Eukaryota, Viridiplantae, Streptophyta, Magnoliopsida, Poales, Poaceae.